This 68-nucleotide transfer RNA is filed under the name Marmota monax (woodchuck). Its description in RNAcentral is "tRNA.Val". The stretch from base 5 to 65 matches the Rfam family "tRNA", at positions 6 to 65 of the family's 71-position model. Rfam says of the family: Transfer RNA (tRNA) molecules are approximately 80 nucleotides in length. Their secondary structure includes four short double-helical elements and three loops (D, anti-codon, and T loops). Further hydrogen bonds mediate the characteristic L-shaped molecular structure. tRNAs have two regions of fundamental functional importance: the anti-codon, which is responsible for specific mRNA codon recognition, and the 3' end, to which the tRNAs corresponding amino acid is attached (by aminoacyl-tRNA synthetases). tRNAs cope with the degeneracy of the genetic code in two manners: having more than one tRNA (with a specific anti-codon) for a particular amino acid; and 'wobble' base-pairing, i.e. permitting non-standard base-pairing at the 3rd anti-codon position. The record is from RNAcentral. Lineage: Eukaryota; Metazoa; Chordata; Mammalia; Rodentia; Sciuridae.
GGACUGUAGCUCAGUGGUAGAGUGCUUAUCUCACACAUGUGAGGCACUGGGUUCUAUUCUCAGCACCA